Salvia splendens (bonfire salvia) is the source of this 760-nucleotide long non-coding RNA. RefSeq lists it as uncharacterized. The record is from RefSeq and is a predicted model, not a curated record. NCBI's taxonomy places the organism in Eukaryota, Viridiplantae, Streptophyta, Magnoliopsida, Lamiales, Lamiaceae. The transcript is spliced from 3 exons.
CUACUCAACCUUCAACUAACCUACGCUUAUAUCAAUCUUCUUCAAUGAAUUUCAGCCAAUAUAAUCAAACAAAAAAUUUCUUCUUCUCUCUGCAUAUUGAAGACAAGCAGGAACAAUGCUCCAAAAAAUAUACACACAAGAUAAUGAGGAGACUUGCUAGACGCUCAAUAUUUCUUUCAUUUUGUUGUGCCAUUUUUUGUUUCUGAAAAAAAAAGGAAGAUGAGGAAGGAGCCUUGUAAUUGCAGAAUUGUGACGAAAAGUAGAUUGCAGAUUGCAAUAAAAAUGCAACCAAUUAGAAUGCACUCAAUGUGUUCGAUGAAACUUCUAAAUGAGAUUUGGGAUACUGUUCCUGCUUCAAAACCGCUGUUCAUACUUACAAAUGAGAUUGGGGGCGUCAUUCCAGAUUCAACUACUAAAAGUUCAAUAUAUGAAAGCAUUCAAUAGGCCUCCCUGGUAACUUUCUGUGAGCCGGUGGUGCAAUUUCUUCUUUACCAGUUUCGGCCCACAAGAUCUUUCCUCUCACGGGUUGUAUCAUGAACUGAUAGGCCUUCAAAUAUGUAGAUUCUAUAUACCAAUGAGCAACGAAAUUUUCUGGCUCCAACCCUUCACUGUGCAGGACACAAACUGCAUGUUGGCAUGGGAUACCGGUCUUCUUUAACAUAAGAUAUAAUCUCUGGAUAUGAGAUCUUAUCAAUGUCCAAGGCAUCACACACUUGAGUAACUUUUCCACCAACAUAGCGACGUCUACUAUCAUCAACAA